AGAGUUUGAUCAUGGCUCAGGAUGAACGCUAGCGGCAGGCCUAAUACAUGCAAGUCGAGGGGUAACAUGAGAGCUUGCUCUUGAUGACGACCGGCGGACGGGUGCGUAACGCGUAUGCAACCUACCCACAACAGGGGGAUAGCCCGGAGAAAUUCGGAUUAAUACCCCCAUAAUGCAGGGGUACCGCCUGGUACUAUUUGCUAAAGAUUUAUCGGUUGUGGAUGGGCAUGCGUCUGAUUAGUUAGUUGGUGAGGUAACGGCUCACCAAGACCACGAUCAGUAGGGGGUCUGAGAGGAUGAUCCCCCACACUGGCACUGAGAUACGGGCCAGACUCCUACGGGAGGCAGCAGUAGGGAAUAUUGGGCAAUGGGCGAGAGCCUGACCCAGCCAUGCCGCGUGAAGGAUGAAGGCCUUCUGGGUUGUAAACUUCUUUUAUACAGGAAGAAAAAGGUCAUGCGUGACCAAUUGACGGUACUGUAUGAAUAAGCACCGGCUAACUCCGUGCCAGCAGCCGCGGUAAUACGGAGGGUGCAAGCGUUGUCCGGAUUUAUUGGGUUUAAAGGGUGCGUAGGCGGUACGCUAAGUCAGUGGUGAAAUCCCGCAGCUCAACUGCGGAACUGCCAUUGAUACUGGCGUACUUGAGUACAGACGAGGUAGGCGGAAUUUAUGGUGUAGCGGUGAAAUGCAUAGAUACCAUAAAGAACACCGAUAGCGAAGGCAGCUUACUAGACUGUAACUGACGCUGAGGCACGAAAGCGUGGGGAGCGAACAGGAUUAGAUACCCUAGUAGUCC
This 794-nucleotide ribosomal RNA is filed under the name uncultured bacterium. Its description in RNAcentral is "bacterial SSU rRNA". It matches the Rfam family "Bacterial small subunit ribosomal RNA", at positions 8 to 796 of the family's 1533-position model. The record is from RNAcentral.